GCUGCGGUGGUGUAAUGGUCAGCAUAUCUGCCUAGUAAGCAAGAAGACCCAGGUUCAAGUCCUGGCUGCAGCA
This 73-nucleotide transfer RNA is filed under the name Schistocerca americana (American grasshopper). Its description in RNAcentral is "tRNA-Thr". It matches the Rfam family "tRNA". Rfam says of the family: Transfer RNA (tRNA) molecules are approximately 80 nucleotides in length. Their secondary structure includes four short double-helical elements and three loops (D, anti-codon, and T loops). Lineage: Eukaryota; Metazoa; Arthropoda; Insecta; Orthoptera; Acrididae. The record is from RNAcentral.